GAUGAACGCUAGCGGCAGGCUUAACACAUGCAAGUCGAGGGGCAGCAUAAUGGAUAGCAAUAUCUAUGGUGGCGACCGGCGCACGGGUGCGUAACGCGUAUGCAACCUACCUUUAACAGGGGGAUAACACUGAGAAAUUGGUACUAAUACCCCAUAAUAUCAUAGAAGGCAUCUUUUAUGGUUGAAAAUUCCGAUGGUUAGAGAUGGGCAUGCGUUGUAUUAGCUAGUUGGUGGGGUAACGGCUCACCAAGGCGACGAUACAUAGGGGGGCUGAGAGGUUAACCCCCCACACUGGUACUGAGACACGGACCAGACUCCUACGGGAGGCAGCAGUGAGGAAUAUUGGUCAAUGGACGCAAGUCUGAACCAGCCAUGCCGCGUGCAGGAUGACGGCUCUAUGAGUGGUAAACUGCUUUUGUACGAGGGUAAACGCAGAUACGUGUAUCUGUCUGAAAGUAUCGUACGAAUAAGGAUCGGCUAACUCCGUG
RNAcentral lists this ribosomal RNA (488 nucleotides) under uncultured bacterium. RNAcentral describes it as "partial 16S ribosomal RNA". It matches the Rfam family "Bacterial small subunit ribosomal RNA", at positions 28 to 507 of the family's 1533-position model. The record is from RNAcentral.